This 756-nucleotide ribosomal RNA is filed under the name Bacillus velezensis. Its description in RNAcentral is "bacterial SSU rRNA". It matches the Rfam family "Bacterial small subunit ribosomal RNA", at positions 45 to 782 of the family's 1533-position model. The record is from RNAcentral. Lineage: Bacteria; Bacillati; Bacillota; Bacilli; Caryophanales; Bacillaceae.
GGCUACUAUACAUGCAAGUCGAGCGGACAGAUGGGAGCUUGCUCCCUGAUGUUAGCGGCGGACGGGUGAGUAACACGUGGGUAACCUGCCUGUAAGACUGGGAUAACUCCGGGAAACCGGGGCUAAUACCGGAUGGUUGUUUGAACCGCAUGGUUCAGACAUAAAAGGUGGCUUCGGCUACCACUUACAGAUGGACCCGCGGCGCAUUAGCUAGUUGGUGAGGUAACGGCUCACCAAGGCGACGAUGCGUAGCCGACCUGAGAGGGUGAUCGGCCACACUGGGACUGAGACACGGCCCAGACUCCUACGGGAGGCAGCAGUAGGGAAUCUUCCGCAAUGGACGAAAGUCUGACGGAGCAACGCCGCGUGAGUGAUGAAGGUUUUCGGAUCGUAAAGCUCUGUUGUUAGGGAAGAACAAGUGCCGUUCAAAUAGGGCGGCACCUUGACGGUACCUAACCAGAAAGCCACGGCUAACUACGUGCCAGCAGCCGCGGUAAUACGUAGGUGGCAAGCGUUGUCCGGAAUUAUUGGGCGUAAAGGGCUCGCAGGCGGUUUCUUAAGUCUGAUGUGAAAGCCCCCGGCUCAACCGGGGAGGGUCAUUGGAAACUGGGGAACUUGAGUGCAGAAGAGGAGAGUGGAAUUCCACGUGUAGCGGUGAAAUGCGUAGAGAUGUGGAGGAACACCAGUGGCGAAGGCGACUCUCUGGUCUGUAACUGACGCUGAGGAGCGAAAGCGUGGGGAGCGAACAGGAUUAGU